UUCGCCCUGUUUUAUUCCAAAACAUCGCCUCUUGCAAAACAUAAGUAUAAGAGGUCCCGCCUGCCCAGUGACAAUAUAGUUUAACGGCCGCGGUAUUUUGACCGUGCAAAGGUAGCGUAAUCACUUGUCUUUUAAAUGAAGACCCGUAUGAAUGGCAUAACGAGGGCUUAACUGUCUCCUUCCCCUGGUCAAUGAAAUUGAUCUCCCCGUGCAGAAGCGGGGAUAUGCUCAUAAGACGAGAAGACCCUAUGGAGCUUUAGACGCAAAGGCAGAUCAUGUCAAAUACACCCAGCUAUGGGACCUGAACUAAAUGAAGCCAGCCUUGAUGUCUUCGGUUGGGGCGACCAUGGGGAACACAAAACCCCCACGUGGAAAAGGAGUACACCCCUACAUUUCCCUCCUCCUACAAACUAGAGCGACAGCUCUAAUCAGCAGAAAUUCUGACCAGACUGAUCCGGCAAAGCCGAUCAACGAAUCAAGUUACCCUAGGGAUAACAGCGCAAUCCCCUUUUAGAGCCCAUAUCGACAAGGGGGUUUACGACCUCGAUGUUGGAUCAGGACAUCCUAAUGGUGCAGCCGCUAUUAAGGGUUCGUUUGUUCAACGAUUAAAGUCCUACGUGAUCUGAGUUCAGACCGG
RNAcentral lists this ribosomal RNA (637 nucleotides) under Paralichthys adspersus (fine flounder). Its description in RNAcentral is "partial 16S ribosomal RNA". It matches the Rfam family "Bacterial large subunit ribosomal RNA", at positions 1795 to 2619 of the family's 2925-position model. Lineage: Eukaryota; Metazoa; Chordata; Actinopteri; Pleuronectiformes; Paralichthyidae. The record is from RNAcentral.